RNAcentral lists this small RNA (108 nucleotides) under Marmota monax (woodchuck). The record is from RNAcentral. Lineage: Eukaryota; Metazoa; Chordata; Mammalia; Rodentia; Sciuridae.
GCUGGGCAUGUGAGUGCUUGCCUGUAAUCCCAAUGACUCGGGAGGCUGAGGCAAGGAGGAUCACAGGUUGGAGGCCAGCCUCAGCCAUUUAGUGAGACCCUGUCUCAA